This 439-nucleotide ribosomal RNA is filed under the name uncultured bacterium. RNAcentral's name for it is "partial 16S ribosomal RNA". It matches the Rfam family "Bacterial small subunit ribosomal RNA", at positions 338 to 795 of the family's 1533-position model. The record is from RNAcentral.
CCUACGGGUGGCAGCAGUGGGGGAUAUUGCACAAUGGGGGAAACCCUGAUGCAGCGACGCCGCGUGUGGGAAGACGGUCCUCUGGAUUGUAAACCAUUGUCCCCAGGAACGAAAAUGACGGUACCUGGGAGGAAGCCCCGGCGAACUACGUGCCCGCCGCCGCGGUCAUACGUAGGGAGGGGGCGUUGGUCGGAAUUACGUGGGUGAAAGGGAGCGUAGGCGGGGAUGCAAGUUGGGUGUCAAAACUACCGGCUCAACUGGUAGUCGCACUCAAAACCGCAGCUCUUGAGUGAAGUAGAGGCAGGCGGAAGUCCUAGUGUAGCGGUGAAAUGCGUAGAUAUUAGGAGGAACACCAGUGGCGAAGGCGGCCUGCUGGGCUUUUACUGACGCUGAGGCUCGAAAGUGUGGGGAGCAAACAGGAUUAGAUACCCUUGUAGUC